CCUACGGGAGGCAGCAGUAGGGAAUAUUGCUCAAUGGGGGAAACCCUGAAGCAGCAACGCCGCGUGGAGGAUGAAGGUUUUCGGAUUGUAAACUCCUUUUGUUAGAGAAGAUAAUGACGGUAUCUAACGAAUAAGCACCGGCUAACUCCGUGCCAGCAGCCGCGGUAAUACGGAGGGUGCAAGCGUUACUCGGAAUCACUGGGCGUAAAGAGGGCGUAGGCGGGAUAGCAAGUCAGAUGUGAAAUCCUAUGGCUUAACCAUAGAACUGCAUUUGAAACUGUUGUUCUAGAGUAUGGGAGAGGUAGGUGGAAUUCUUGGUGUAGGGGUAAAAUCCGUAGAGAUCAAGAGGAAUACUCAUUGCGAAGGCGACCUGCUAGAACAUAACUGACGCUGAUGCGCGAAAGCGUGGGGAGCAAACAGGAUUAGAUACCCGUGUAGUC
This 440-nucleotide ribosomal RNA is filed under the name uncultured bacterium. RNAcentral's name for it is "partial 16S ribosomal RNA". It matches the Rfam family "Bacterial small subunit ribosomal RNA", at positions 338 to 795 of the family's 1533-position model. The record is from RNAcentral.